UACACAUGCAGUCGAACGGAAAGCCCUGCUUGCAGGGUACUCGAGUGGCGAACGGGUGAGUAACACGUGGGUGAUCUGCCCUGCACUUCGGGAUAAGCCUGGGAAACUGGGUCUAAUACCGGAUAGGAGCCAUUUUUAGUGUGAUGGUUGGAAAGUUUUUUCGGUGUGGGAUGAGCUCGCGGCCUAUCAGCUUGUUGGUGGGGCAAUGGCCUACCAAGGCGGCGACGGGUAGCCGGCCUGAGAGGGUGGACGGCCACAUUGGGACUGAGAUACGGCCCAGACUCCUACGGGAGGCAGCAGUGGGGAAUAUUGCACAAUGGGCGCAAGCCUGAUGCAGCGACGCCGCGUGGGGGAUGACGGCCUUCGGGUUGUAAACUCCUUUCGCUAGGGACGAAGCUUUUUGUGACGGUACCUAGAUAAGAAGCACCGGCUAACUACGUGCCAGCAGCCGCGGUAAU
Molecule: ribosomal RNA, 458 nt
Filed under: uncultured bacterium
Lineage: Bacteria
Description: bacterial SSU rRNA
Rfam family: Bacterial small subunit ribosomal RNA
Source: RNAcentral